UUUUAGCCCCGAUAGCAGCGGCAUCUCCCGACUCAGAAAAACAAGGCUUUUUGCCGUAGUUUUUAUUUAUCGGGAAUACAGCGUAGAGCGGGAAUAGCU
This 99-nucleotide small RNA is filed under the name Flavobacterium glaciei. RNAcentral describes it as "Flavo-1 RNA". It matches the Rfam family "Flavo-1 RNA". The record is from RNAcentral. Lineage: Bacteria; Pseudomonadati; Bacteroidota; Flavobacteriia; Flavobacteriales; Flavobacteriaceae.